AAUUCGAUUCAGGCCUAUCACAUGCAAGUCGAUCGGCAGCACGGAGCUUGCUCUGGUAAAAAAAAAAGAACGGGUGAGUAAUAUAUCGGAACGUACCCUAGAGUGGGGGAUAACGUAGCGAAAGUUACGCGAAUACCGCAUACGAGCUAAAGAUAAAAGUGGGGUAUCGCAAGACCUGAUGCUCGUGGAGCGACCGAUGUGUAAGUAGACUAGUUGGUAGGGUAAAAGCCUACCAAGGCAUCGAUCAGUAGCUGGUCUGAGAGGACGACCAGCCACACUUUUUGGGGGAACACGGUCCAGACUCCUACGGGAGGCAGCAGUGGGGAAUUUUGGACAA
Molecule: ribosomal RNA, 337 nt
Filed under: uncultured bacterium
Lineage: Bacteria
Description: partial 16S ribosomal RNA
Rfam family: Bacterial small subunit ribosomal RNA
Source: RNAcentral